Molecule: ribosomal RNA, 440 nt
Filed under: uncultured bacterium
Lineage: Bacteria
Description: partial 16S ribosomal RNA
Rfam family: Bacterial small subunit ribosomal RNA
Source: RNAcentral
CCUACGGUGUGCAGCAGUGGGGAAUAUUGCACAAUGGGGGAAACCCUGAUGCAGCGCCGCCGCGUGAGUGAAGAAGUAAUUCGUUAUGUAAAGCUCUAUCAGCAGGGAAGAAAAUGACGGUACCUGAGUAAGAUGCCACGGCUAACUACGUGCCAGCAGCCGCGGUAAUACGGAGGGGGCAAGCGUUAUCCGGAUUUACUGGGUGUAAAGGGAGCGUAGACGGCAGUGCAAGUCUGGAGUGAAAGGCGGGGGCUCAACCCCCGGACUGCUCGGGAAACUGGACGGCUGGAGGGUAGGAGAGGUAAGUGGAAUUCCUAGGGUAGCGGUGAAAUGCGUAGAUAGUAGGAGGAACACCAGUGGCGAAGGCGGCUUACUGGACUGGAACUGACGGUGAGGCUCGAAAGCGUGGGGAGCAAACAGGAUUAGAUACCCCUGUAGUC